ACCCAGUUGCUGAAGAAUUGGAAGGACUAAAAAUCUGUUUUUCAAAAAAAGUUACCAUUGUGGAAAAUGUCUACAGAGGCAGCUGUUCUAUCCAGAGAGGAACGUCAAAAGUUGCACAGAAUUUCCACUACUUCUGAAAGCAACCUGUUCCACCCAGAAAAGAAGUUACUUAUGAAUGAAAGUCUUACCCUUGUUAGGAAAGAGGAGGAUCAUUUGAAUCAAUAAAGGAAGGCAUUAUCAGAAAGGCAUUCAGGAAGCAGAAUCCCAUGCCUCAGAACCACACUGGAAUCAAGGAGUUUCAUGGGACGACUGGAAGAUGGGGGAAGGCAACUUCAGUCAACAUGACUCCUAAAGACAUACUCAAUAUGCAAGCCUACUUCUUGAAAGCCUUUUAGAAGUGGCUUUUCCUUCAAGUUUACGGCAGAACCAACUCUAUAUCAGACACUAUGCUAAACUCUAUGCAGGGCACAGG
Molecule: long non-coding RNA, 472 nt
Organism: Herpailurus yagouaroundi (jaguarundi)
Lineage: Eukaryota; Metazoa; Chordata; Mammalia; Carnivora; Felidae
Exons: 4
Source: RefSeq, a predicted model, not a curated record